UUUCUUGGUUGUUGUUGUUGUUGACUUGUUUGUAUUUUAUUUAUUCUAUAAUUCUAUUUUAUAGUACAUCCACAUGCCGUAGGUACGAGUUUAGUUAACAGUACAAUAUAAAAUAAUGUGUAUUUCCUAAAUAUUUCUAUUGUUUGUAUUCAUUAGUUAUGGAAGUAAAUGGUAAGGAAGACUUUGGAGAAUAUGAAAAAAAUUAUGCAGAAACUCAGUUAAACACAUCAAUAGAUAUUGAAGACAUUAAAAAUGAACCAGGUGAACAUUGCUCAAAUGAGGGAAGUAAAGUAAAAGUUAAGAAAGAAUAUGAAAAAGCAGAAACUGAGCUAUGGGCAUCUAUAGACAUUAAAGACAUUAAAAAUGAACCAGGUGAACACUGCCCAGAUGAGGGAAGUAAAGUAAAAGUUAAGAAAGCAUAUGAAAAAGCAGACACUGACCUAUGCACAUCUAUAAACAUUGAAGACAUUAAAAGUGAAUCAGGUGAACAUUGCCAAGAUGAGGAAAGUAAAGUAAAAAUUAAGGAAGAAUUUGGAGAAUAUGAAAAAAUAUAUGCAGAAACUCAGCUAUGCACAUCUAUAGACAUUGAAGACAUUAAAAAUGAACCAGCUGAACAUUGCUCAGGCAAAUGCUGCAAGAUGAAGACUGGGAGGAGCUUUUUGCAGUACCAAAUUGGGAUAUAGAAAAGCAAUGGGUUGUAUUUAUGAAAAUCAUUUCUUUGUUAUUUGACCAAUGCUUUCCAGAAAAAAAUAUAAAUAAACAUAAAAAACGUAUCAAAUACUAUAAUACAAAUGAAAUAAACCAAUAUAAAAGUCGCUUAGACCUUUUGCUAAUGUUAAGUAGAAUAGAUGACCAUUACAAAGAUGAGUACAAACAAACAAAACGUCAGUAUAAUAAAAUGCUUGUCGAUUCACGAAAAAUGCAAUAUGGGCAAUAAAUAUAUAAUAGUCAAAAUAAGUCAAAAAGUCUAUGGAAAAUCGUUAAAAAAAUCACACAGGCAAAUUCUAGCGAUAAUAAUGUAGCAAUACUAGGAGAUCCAGUCACGGUCUUUCUCAAAAUAAGAAUAUAUUGGAGAUAAUUGAAGCUGAACAUACAUGUAUUACAGUUGAACAAACAAUUCGACAAGGAGAAGAAAAAUCAUCAAAAUGUACGAUUUUUUCCAAAGAUUUAAAAAGCAAUAUGCGAUUACAUAAUGACGAAAAAUCUUAUAAGUGUGAAAUUUGUACUAAGGAGUUCACUAACAAAUCUGAUUUAAAUAUUCAUAGAAGAAUACACAAAAAUACACAUAAAUGUGAAAUUUGCUUCAAGCAGUUUUCACAAAGAACCGGUUUGAAACGCCAUUUGCAAACGCACACUGGCGAAAAACCUUUCAAAUGUGAGAUUUGUUCUAAACAGAUUACACAGAGGAGUCAUUUGAAAAGACAUCUGAGAAUCCACACAGGAGAAAAACCUUUUCAAUGUGACAUUUGUAGUCAAUCGUUUUUCUUCAAGAAUAAUUUGAAAGACCAUUUAAUUAGACACACUGGAGAAAAAAAUUAUGAAUGUGAGAUUUGUAGUCAAUCCUUUUUCUAUAAGGGUCAUUUGAAGGACCAUCUAAAAAUACAUACUGGAGAGAAGUCUUUUGAAUGCGGCAUUUGUAAUAAAGGGUUUUUUCACAAGGGCAAUUUGAAAGACCAUAUGAUAAUGCAUACUGGAGAAAGAUCUUAUAAAUGUGACAUAUGCUUAAAGCGUUUUUCUCGAAGUGGAGUUUUGAAACGACAUUUGAAAAUACAUACGAGUACUAGGCAAAAACUUUUUGAAUGUGCGAUUUGUUCUUCACAUUUUUACACUAAGAGUCAAUUGAGCCGUCAUAUCAUUUCACAUAAUCCUGAAAAAGUGUAUAAGUGUGAAAUUUGUUUUACGCCGUUUUAUAGAAAGGGACUUUUGAAGACACAUUUUAAGAAUCACACUAAAAAAAAUCUGUGAUUCCCUGUAAGAGAGAAACUUUUGAAUGUGCGAUUUGUUCUUCGCGUUUUUACACCAAGUUUCAUUUGAGACGUUAUUUCAGCACAUUUAAUCAUGAAAAAGUGUAUAAAUAUGAAAUAUGUUUUACACCGUUUUAUAGAAAGGGUCUUUUGAAGGCACAUUUAAAUAAUCACACUGAAAAAAUGUAUGAAUCACACUAAAAAAAUCUGUUAAUCACAAAUCUGAAUUUUGUCCUAGAGUUUACUAAAAAAAUUAAAUAGUCAUAGAAGAAUACACAAAAAUCCAUAAAGAUGUGAAAUUUCCGUCCUACGCUGAGAAGUGGAUGGCAAACUGAGCUGUCACUAUCGCUGCAGCGACAUCGAACGGCUCAUCUUGGGCGUCACGCGUCGUGUCGCAAAUGAAUGAACCUGGAUCCAUUUUAUUUGCCGCGUAUUGCGUGGCGAGACAAGCGUUUUUUACUGCGAGCUUCAUUUAUCAUAAAAAAUUUAACUAAGGGCCGGUAUUUCAACAGCUACUUAAGCUUUUGCUUAGCUAAGCCUCUGUCAAAAGUUAAAGGAGAAGCUUAAGCUGGGUGCCGUAUUUCCAUCAUUUCCUUAACUAAACUCGUCCUCAACUGUCAAGUUAAUUGGAUUGGUAUCUCUGAGUACGUCAGAAUGCCAGAUCUAACUGUUCUGAGGUAAAAACCACUACUGUUGACAUUUAAUUUUAUCUUGUCAUCUGUGUCAGUUUUAUUUUUACUUUACUUAAUUUUAUGUACAUGGUAAAUGUGUUGUUAGUAUAUUGUGUACAUAUUAUAUUUUCUCUGGUUACAUUUUUUAUUGGUAUUCUGCAUUUAAGUAAUAAAUCCGUCUAUGUAAUUUUGUUUAUUGCAUUUUUUAUAUUCCUUAAAAUGUCAAAUUGGAAUAUAUGUUUACUUUUGUAAAAUAAAUAUACCCAAGCAUUGUAGAAAUAAAUAAUUUUCAUGUGCCUACAUCUUCCAAAUGGAUUAAGAAUUUUAUUUUAAUAAUCGUUAGUAAUAAUCCACUAAUAAUGUUGUUACGCAAAAGUUGAUUUUCAAAAUAACUCUGGAAUUAUUAAUCUAUAGAAAUAACCUCAAAAAACAGAAAACAAAUUUUAAGCAAAGGCUUAAACCAACUCCAGUGCGAGCUUAAAAUUAUUUGGUUUAAGCCUAUAUGCUUAAGCCUCAACUUGAAGUGAAAAUACAGGCAUCUAGGCUUAAGCUCAGGCUUAAAGUAAGCUUUGGCUUAAGUGAGGUUGGAAAUACCGGCCCUAAACCCAUUUAACGCCGAAAUUAUUUUGUUUUAAAAUUUUACUUACCUAUACAUAAUUAUGAGUAAUUUUGUACUGU
RNAcentral lists this unclassified non-coding RNA (3313 nucleotides) under Diabrotica virgifera virgifera (western corn rootworm). Its description in RNAcentral is "gastrula zinc finger protein XlCGF57.1". The record is from RNAcentral. Lineage: Eukaryota; Metazoa; Arthropoda; Insecta; Coleoptera; Chrysomelidae.